GCUGGGCGUGGUGGUGUGUGCCUGUAGUCCCAGCUACUUGGGAGGCCGAGGUGGGAGGAUCACCUGAGCCCAGGAGUUCAAGGCUGCGGUGAGCCGGGAUUGUUCCACUGCACUCCAGUCUUCACCCAGACUGAGAUCUCGUCUCAAAAAAAUAAAAAGCUAGACCGGGCGUGGUGGCUCAUGCCUGCAAUCCCAGCACUUUGGGGGGCCAAGGUGGGCAGAUCACUUGAGGUCAGGAGUUCAAGAUCAGCCUGGCCAACAAGGUGAAAGCCCGUCUCU
This 279-nucleotide small RNA is filed under the name Gorilla gorilla gorilla (western lowland gorilla). RNAcentral describes it as "Metazoan signal recognition particle RNA (ENSGGOG00000037370.1)". Lineage: Eukaryota; Metazoa; Chordata; Mammalia; Primates; Hominidae. The record is from RNAcentral.